RNAcentral lists this small nuclear RNA (206 nucleotides) under Felis catus (domestic cat). RNAcentral describes it as "U4 spliceosomal RNA (ENSFCAG00000047834.1)". The stretch from base 1 to 61 matches the Rfam family "U4 spliceosomal RNA". Lineage: Eukaryota; Metazoa; Chordata; Mammalia; Carnivora; Felidae. The record is from RNAcentral.
AGCUUUGCGCAGUGGCAGUAUCGUAGCCAAUGACGUUUAUCCGAGGUGCGAUUAUUGCUAUAAUCUGGCCCUAGUCGACCUGUUUAUAAUCUUUUUUUCAACUUUCAUUCACUCAUUGAUUCAUAUAUUUAUCCAGUAAAUACGUGUUGAGUGCCUACUCUGUGUCAGACAUGUAGUCAUUUAUUUUCCUAAACCAGUUCACAUGG